GAUGAACGCUGGCGGCGUGCCUAAUACAUGCAAGUCGAGCGAACAGACGAGGAGCUUGCUCCUCUGACGUUAGCGGCGGACGGGUGAGUAACACGUGGAUAACCUACCUAUAAGACUGGGAUAACUUCGGGAAACCGGAGCUAAUACCGGAUAAUAUAUUGAACCGCAUGGUUCAAUAGUGAAAGACGGUUUUGCUGUCACUUAUAGAUGGAUCCGCGCCGCAUUAGCUAGUUGGUAAGGUAACGGCUUACCAAGGCAACGAUGCGUAGCCGACCUGAGAGGGUGAUCGGCCACACUGGAACUGAGACACGGUCCAGACUCCCACGGGAGGCAGCAGUAGGGAAUCUUCCGCAAUGGGCGAAAGCUUGACGGAGCAACGCCGCGUGAGUGAUGAAGGUCUUCGGAUCGUAAAACUCUGUUAUUAGUGAAGAACAAAUGUGUAAGUAACUAUGCACGUCUUGACGGUACCUAAUCAGAAAGCCACGGCUAACUACGUG
Molecule: ribosomal RNA, 497 nt
Filed under: uncultured bacterium
Lineage: Bacteria
Description: partial 16S ribosomal RNA
Rfam family: Bacterial small subunit ribosomal RNA
Source: RNAcentral